CUUGUAAGGUGGAUUAGUGGCGAACGGGUGAGUAACACGUGGGUGAUCUGCCCCAAACUUUGGGAUAAGCCUGGGAAACUGGGUCUAAUACCGAAUAUGACCGAUACUCGCAUGGGUGUUGGUGGAAAGCUCCGGCGGUUUGGGAUGGGCCCGCGGCCUAUCAGCUUGUUGGUGGGGUAAUGGCCUACCAAGGCGACGACGGGUAGCCGGCCUGAGAGGGCGACCGGCCACACUGGGACUGAGACACGGCCCAAACUCCUACGGGAGGCAGCAGUGGGGAAUAUUGCACAAUGGGCGCAAGCCUGAUGCAGCGACGCCGCGUGAGGGAUGACGGCCUUCGGGUUGUAAACCUCUUUCACCAGGAACGAAGCGAAAGUGACGGUACCUGGAGAAGAAGCACCGGCCAACUACGUGCCAGCAGCCGCGGUAAUACGUAGGGUGCGAGCGUUGUCCGGAAUUACUGGGCGUAAAGAGCUCGUAGGCGGUUUGUCGCGUCGUUCGUGAAAACUUGGGGCUUAACUCCAAGCGUGCGGGCGAUACGGGCAGACUUGAGUACUACAGGGGAGACUGGAAUUCCUGGUGUAGCGGUGAAAUGCGCAGAUAUCAGGAGGAACACCGGUGGCGAAGGCGGGUCUCUGGGUAGUAACUGACGCUGAGGAGCGAAAGCGUGGGUAGCGAACAGGAUUAGAUACCCUGGUAGUCCACGCCGUAAACGGUGGGUACUAGGUGUGGGUUCCUUUUCACGGGAUCCGUGCCGUAGCUAACGCAUUAAGUACCCCGCCUGGGGAGUACGGCCGCAAGGCUAAAACUCAAAGGAAUUGACGGGGGCCCGCACAAGCGGCGGAGCAUGUGGAUUAAUUCGAUGCAACGCGAAGAACCUUACCUGGGUGUGACAUACACCAGAAAGCCAUAGAGAUAUGGCCCCCCUUGUGGUUGGUGUACAGGUGGUGCAUGGCUGUCGUCAGCUCGUGUCGUGAGAUGUUGGGUUAAGUCCCGCAACGAGCGCAACCCUUGUCCUGUGUUGCCAGCACGUAAUGGUGGGGACUCGCAGGAGACUGCCGGGGUCAACUCGGAGGAAGGUGGGGAUGACGUCAAGUCAUCAUGCCCCUUAUGUCCAGGGCUUCACACAUGCUACAAUGGCCGGUACAGAGGGCUGCGAUACCGUGAGGUGGAGCGAAUCCCUUAAAGCCGGUCUCAGUUCGGAUCGGGGUCUGCAACUCGACCCCGUGAAGUCGGAGUCGCUAGUAAUCGCAGAUCAGCAACGCUGCGGUGAAUACGUUCCCGGGCCUUGUACACACCGCGCGUCACGUCAUGAAAGUUGGUAACACCCGAAGCCGGUGGCCCAACCCCUUGUGGGAGGGAGCCGUCGAAGGUGGGAUUGGCGAUUGGGACGAAGUCGUAACAAGGUAACCGUA
This 1415-nucleotide ribosomal RNA is filed under the name Williamsia muralis. Its description in RNAcentral is "16S ribosomal RNA". It matches the Rfam family "Bacterial small subunit ribosomal RNA". The record is from RNAcentral. Lineage: Bacteria; Bacillati; Actinomycetota; Actinomycetes; Mycobacteriales; Nocardiaceae.